UGAAGUGUCGUUGGUGACGGAUCAGACACAAUGCUUCAAACACCUUUCUCUGUCUCUGUGCUCCUGUAUGUGAGUUUUAGAGUGUGUUUGUGUCUGUAUGUGAGAGAGAGGGGCUUUAUGUAUAAAUGUAGACGUACCAAACUGUUCAGACUGACAAACUUUAAAAAAAUAUCUGUUGUGAUUUGAGCUCAGACAAACCCAGAAAACGAGAACUGAAGGAAAUUUAAAACUUCUGUCAUGGAUUCAAAUUUGGUAGAUAUACACUGAACAAGG
Molecule: long non-coding RNA, 273 nt
Organism: Siniperca chuatsi (mandarin fish)
Lineage: Eukaryota; Metazoa; Chordata; Actinopteri; Centrarchiformes; Sinipercidae
Exons: 3
Source: RefSeq, a predicted model, not a curated record